This 281-nucleotide ribosomal RNA is filed under the name uncultured Staphylococcus sp. RNAcentral describes it as "partial 16S ribosomal RNA". It matches the Rfam family "Bacterial small subunit ribosomal RNA", at positions 81 to 354 of the family's 1533-position model. Lineage: Bacteria; Bacillati; Bacillota; Bacilli; Caryophanales; Staphylococcaceae. The record is from RNAcentral.
CUCCUUUGACGUUAGCGGCGGACGGGUGAGUAACACGUGGGUAACCUACCUAUAAGACUGGGAUAACUUCGGGAAACCGGAGCUAAUACCGGAUAAUAUUUCGAACCGCAUGGUUCGAUAGUGAAAGGUGGUUUUGCUAUCACUUAUAGAUGGACCCGAGCCGUAUUAGCUAGUUGGUAAGGUAACGGCUUACCAAGGCGACGAUACGUAGCCGACCUGAGAGGGUGAUCGGCCACACUGGAACUGAGACACGGUCCAGACUCCUACGGGAGGCAGCAGGG